Molecule: ribosomal RNA, 190 nt
Filed under: uncultured fungus
Lineage: Eukaryota; Fungi
Description: partial 18S ribosomal RNA
Rfam family: Eukaryotic small subunit ribosomal RNA
Source: RNAcentral
UAGUAUUCAAUUGUCAGAGGUGAAAUUCUUGGAUUUAUUGAAGACUAACUACUGCGAAAGCAUUUGCCAAGGAUGUUUUCAUUAAUCAAGAACGAAAGUUAGGGGAUCGAAGACGAUCAGAUACCGCCGUAGUCUUAACCAUAAACUAUGCCGACUAGGGAUCGGAUGAUGUUAAUUUUUUAAUGACUCA